This 407-nucleotide ribosomal RNA is filed under the name uncultured bacterium. Its description in RNAcentral is "partial 16S ribosomal RNA". It matches the Rfam family "Bacterial small subunit ribosomal RNA", at positions 30 to 526 of the family's 1533-position model. The record is from RNAcentral.
AUUGAACGCUGGCGGCAGGCCUAACACAUGCAAGUCGAGCGGAGCGGCGGACGGGUGAGUAAUGCCUAGGAAUCUGCCUGGUAGUGGGGGAUAACGUCCGGAAACGGGCGCUAAUACCGCAUACUAUCAGAUGAGCCUAGGUGGGCUUAGCUAGUUGGUGGGGUAAAGGCAUACCAAGGCGACGAUCCGUAACUGGUCUGAGAGGAUGAUCAGUCACACUGGAACUGAGACGCGGUCCAGCAUCCUACGGGAUGCAGCAGUAGGGAAUAUUGGACAAUGGGCGAAAGCCAGAUCCAGCCAUGCCGCGUGUGUGAAGAAGGUCUUCGGAUGGUAAAACACUUUAAGUUGGGAGGCGUGACCAACAGAAUAAGCAACGGCUGACUUCGUGCCAGCAGCCGCGGUAAUUC